Molecule: non-coding RNA, 28 nt
Filed under: Bombyx mori (domestic silkworm)
Lineage: Eukaryota; Metazoa; Arthropoda; Insecta; Lepidoptera; Bombycidae
Source: RNAcentral
UAUUGUCAUAUAAAGCUUUCAGCUGGUC